Molecule: long non-coding RNA, 148 nt
Filed under: Mus spicilegus (steppe mouse)
Lineage: Eukaryota; Metazoa; Chordata; Mammalia; Rodentia; Muridae
Description: lncRNA (ENSMSIG00000009427.1)
Source: RNAcentral
AGCCCAGCUGCACCCAGCACUACCCAGUCACAGGAGUCCUGCUGGCGAGCUGUGAGCCUGGAGUGAGGCCUCAGAGAGACCCAUGGUGUGUGUGGGAGUUGGACUAUCACAUCCUAAAGAAAGUGUGUGGGACCAGGAGGCCACAGUC